RNAcentral lists this ribosomal RNA (439 nucleotides) under uncultured bacterium. RNAcentral's name for it is "partial 16S ribosomal RNA". It matches the Rfam family "Bacterial small subunit ribosomal RNA", at positions 338 to 795 of the family's 1533-position model. The record is from RNAcentral.
CCUACGGGAGGCAGCAGUAGGGAAUAUUGCUCAAUGGGGGAAACCCUGAAGCAGCAACGCCGCGUGGAGGAUGAAGGUUUUAGGAUUGUAAACUCCUUUUGUGAGAGAAGAUAAUGACGGUAUCUCACGAAUAAGCACCGGCUAACUCCGUGCCAGCAGCCGCGGUAAUACGGAGGAUGCGAGCGUUAUCCGGAUUUAUUGGGUUUAAAGGGUGCGCAGGCGGAGGCACAAGUCAGCGGUAAAAUCGCGGGGCUCAACCCCGCUCCGCCGUUGAAACUGUGUCCCUUGAGUGCGCGAAGGGUAGGCGGAAUGCGUGGUGUAGCGGUGAAAUGCAUAGAUAUCACGCAGAACUCCGAUCGCGAAGGCAGCCUACCGGCGCGCAACUGACGCUCAUGCACGAAAGCGUGGGUAUCGAACAGGAUUAGAUACCCGUGUAGUC